UACGGAGGGUGCAAGCGUUAUCCGGAUUUACUGGGUUUAAAGGGUGCGUAGGCGGGUUGUUAAGUCAGUGGUGAAAGAUUCGAGCUCAACUCGAGAACUGCCAUUGAUACUGAUGACCUUGAAUACAGUUGAGGUGGGCGGAAUGUGUCAUGUAGCGGUGAAAUGCUUAGAUAUGACACAGAACACCGAUUGCGAAGGCAGCUUGCUAAACUGUGAUUGACGCUGAGGCACGAAAGCGUGGGGAGCGAACAGG
RNAcentral lists this ribosomal RNA (253 nucleotides) under uncultured bacterium. Its description in RNAcentral is "partial 16S ribosomal RNA". It matches the Rfam family "Bacterial small subunit ribosomal RNA", at positions 524 to 776 of the family's 1533-position model. The record is from RNAcentral.